RNAcentral lists this transfer RNA (72 nucleotides) under Camelus bactrianus (Bactrian camel). It matches the Rfam family "tRNA". Rfam says of the family: Transfer RNA (tRNA) molecules are approximately 80 nucleotides in length. Their secondary structure includes four short double-helical elements and three loops (D, anti-codon, and T loops). Further hydrogen bonds mediate the characteristic L-shaped molecular structure. tRNAs have two regions of fundamental functional importance: the anti-codon, which is responsible for specific mRNA codon recognition, and the 3' end, to which the tRNAs corresponding amino acid is attached (by aminoacyl-tRNA synthetases). tRNAs cope with the degeneracy of the genetic code in two manners: having more than one tRNA (with a specific anti-codon) for a particular amino acid; and 'wobble' base-pairing, i.e. permitting non-standard base-pairing at the 3rd anti-codon position. Lineage: Eukaryota; Metazoa; Chordata; Mammalia; Artiodactyla; Camelidae. RNAcentral also lists the same sequence under 2 other names. The record is from Rfam by way of RNAcentral.
GGGAGUAUAGCUCAGUGGCAGAGUGCCUGCUUAGCAUGCAUGAGGUCCUGGGUUCAUUCCCCAGUACCUCCA